AACCAUAGAAACCUGCGGAGUACCUGCGGAAGGAUCAUUACAGAGUUGCAAAACUCCCUAAACCAUUGUGAACGUUACCUAAACCGUUGCUUCGGCGGGCGGCCCGGGUCCUUCCCGGCGCCCCUCGGCCCUCGCGGGCGCCCGCCGGAGGUAAACCAAACUAUUGCAUUGUAUGGCCUCUCUGAGUCUUCUGUACUGAAUAAGUCAAAACUUUCAACAAUGGAUCUCAGAUCGGAAGAG
RNAcentral lists this unclassified non-coding RNA (240 nucleotides) under soil metagenome. RNAcentral's name for it is "partial contains 5.8S ribosomal RNA, internal transcribed spacer 2, and large subunit ribosomal RNA". The record is from RNAcentral.